AGACACUGUAUGAGCUACCUACCCAUU
This 27-nucleotide non-coding RNA is filed under the name Cricetulus griseus (Chinese hamster). The record is from RNAcentral. Lineage: Eukaryota; Metazoa; Chordata; Mammalia; Rodentia; Cricetidae.